Molecule: long non-coding RNA, 3413 nt
Organism: Macrobrachium nipponense
Lineage: Eukaryota; Metazoa; Arthropoda; Malacostraca; Decapoda; Palaemonidae
Exons: 6
Source: RefSeq, a predicted model, not a curated record
GGACGUUUAUGUCGAGUGGAAGUGAACGGCGCGUGGUUCGAGUGCUAAUUUGUGACUUUUUUACUUUCUUGUUUAUUAAAGGGUGUUUGGUGGUGGGGAGGUUAGCGUGGGGUGAAGAUCAUUGACAGUAAUACUGUUUUUAGAGUAAAUAAAUAAGAAACGAAGAAGGCUCUAACGAAAACGCAAAUGAUGUCGAACGUUUGUCCCGCCCUAUCUUCGCAAGAUGGCCACGUUUUUAUCCAAGAAUGGCUGCAAAGCUAAAAAACCGUACUGAAAAUGACAAUUUUAAUAUAUUUCAUGACCACUGGUAAUUUGAAUAGUUUAGUUGCAGAAAAUGGUUAACCUAAUCUAAAAUAAUCAAAGUAAAUUUGGAAAUGCCAAGCAAAACUUCAUGCAACAGGUGCCUUCAAAACUUAGGCCUAUGUAGCUCACAAGCAUGGCAUCUUUUGUAAAAGUGGUUGUUGUAUCAAGGUAAAAAUGGCUAUUAGGGAUAUAUUGACACUAUUAAGACCACAAGUCAUUCUGAGGGAUUAAACGAUAUCGUAAUAUGUGGGACAGGUAAACAAAAGCUAAUACCUACGUAGGCUCAAGGAAGAAAGUGAUUGCAAGUCUAGUACAGACCUGCCGACCGGCGUUGACUAACUUGUCCAAAUUGUUGUGUAUUGUAUUUAACUGAUGACGAAAGCUUCCUCCCCUUAUUGACAUUCGUGUUAGAGAAACGUGACAUGUAUUCCUGAGCAGUAGUCAGUGUAGCUUAAAUGUAAAGAUUAGUCCGUAUAUGCAUAAGGGGCAACUUGGAACGACUCGGUGAUGAAUAUCUGAUGUAGAUACCAGGGCAACAACACUUUGGAAAAUUGUGUUGCGGAUACCAGAGCAACACUUUGGAAAAGCGUAUGUUGGAGAUACCAGAGCAACACUUUGAAAAAGCGUAUGCUGGAGAUACCAGAGCAACACUGAAAAAGCGUAUGUUGGAGAUACCAGAGCAACACUUUGGAAGGGCGUAUGUUGGAGAUACCAGAGCAACACUUUGGAAGGGCGUAUGUUGGAGAUACCAGAGCAACACUUUAGAAAAACGUAUGUUGGAGAUACCAGAGCAACACUUUAGAAAAACGUAUGUUGGAGAUACCAGAGCAACACUUUGGAAGGGCUAAUGUUGGAGAUACCAAAGCAACACUUUCGAAAAGCUUGGUGUGUUGGAGAUACCCGAGCAACACUGGAAAGGCGUAUGUUGGAGAUACCAGAGCAACACUUUGGAAGAGCGUAUGUUGGAGAUACCAGAGCAACAUUUUAGAAAAACGUAUGUUGGAGAUUCCAGAGCAACACUUUGGAAAAGCGUAUAUUGGAGAUACCAGAACAACACUUUGGGAAAGCGUAUGUUGCAGAUACCAGAGCAGCACUUUGGAAGCGCAUAGUUGGAAUACCAAGGGCAACACUUCGGCAGAGCUCUUGUUUUGGAUACUAGGGCAGCGCUGCGGAACCGAAUGACAUCAUGGGAGCACUUCUGCAGCAAGCACUUGUAGGAUGAGGUGCUGCCGCCGAUUUGGUUAUUUGGACCAACUCCAAUAACAAGCUCAGCUGGUGGUAGUUAUUUCAGCUGUACAUCUGCAUCCACUGCAGCUGGAGAUGGUUUCACCUUUGUUCUCCCUGUAUCAGGGAUAGUCUCACAAAACCUGCAGCCGUUGCCAUGUAGUAUAUUAGCUUCCCAAAAUAGGUACUGCUACCACACAGGAUACUACUGCCACAGUAGACACAGGCACUAUUUUAAUCUAGCUUCAUCAACUACUGGAGGAACACGAACAGGUUUUACACUAUUUACAACUAGUGCAACUCCAACUGUAUAUCCAUAUAUGGGCAGUCCUGCAGCUAUCAUGACACAGCUUCAGUAACCGCUGCUCUUUAAGGUGAGAUAUUGUGAUUUGGACCAGCUCCAAGAGCAACUCGAACUGGCAAUAUUUGGGUGAGCUUUCAAUCUGCAUCUACAGCAGCUGGAAGAGGUUUCAAUUCUGCGCCUUCAACUACCAGUCACUGACCACUAGAUCAAGGUUUUUGUUUACAAAACCUGCAUCAGUUGUCAUGAAUUUUAGUUUCCCAAAUGCAAGUACUGCUACCACUCGGGUACUGGAUCUGUGUUUAAUCUAGCUUUAUCUGGAAGAACAGUAACAGGUUUUACAUUAUCUGCAAAAUUUGCUAGUGUAACUCCAACCUUUUAUUCACUGACUGUCAGUCCUGCAGCUGAUACAACUACAACUGUAGUAACUAACGCUCCUCAAGGUGAUUUGGGCCCCUAGUAACAACCUCAGUUGGCAACAUUUGGUUCAGCUCUAAAUCUCCAUCCACAGCACCUGGAAGUGAUUUCACUUCUGCUCUCCUGAGGAUCUUCAGCUACUAGUCACUGACCACUAGAUCAAGGAUAAUGAGUUGUGUAUUAGCUUUUUUUUUUUACAUAAACGUAAUGAACAACCAGCAGCAAGAGCCCUCAGUACCAUCAGGUGCAGCGUCCACGCCAUUGCCGGGUUAGGAUCAAGUCCGUGAGGGUGAACCCACCUAUCAAAACAAAUUAUUUUAAAAUAUAAAACGGAUCUAGUAAGGUGUUACCAUAUAAGGAAUGUUAAAGUGUAAACUUUUAUUAUAUAUUAGUUGAUAGCUUUCUCGGGAAAAGCUAAAAUGUAGGCUUAUAUACUGACUGCGAAUUACUAGACAUGACAGAAGGCUCAUUCACGAAGGUUGUAUUAGUUUAUUGUCCUAGCAAACUUUGCAAAUUUUUACCUUUCAUGUAAUAUCUGUUGCAAAAGCAAGCGUCUUCUUUUGUCUAUAAUGCUUGUGUCUUUAGAAUUUACGCCUAAUAAACAUUUUGCCGAGUCCAUAUCUACAUUCUGUCAGGGUGCCACGAUGGCACAUGGACAAGAAAUUUAGUUUUUGGUUCUGGUAUUUUGUUGUUAACUGGGUUAUUGAAAAUACCUCCAUGAAGUUGUACGAAAUCGGUGUCACAGGUUGGCUUCGUGACUGGAAUCAAACGAUAACAUUUUUAGAGAGACGGGGAUGUAACUUUUGUUGAAACAACGACCUAAUGGUUGGUGAGGUGGCCUGGUCGGUCAGCUUUGCCGAGGGCGAGGUCUCACAAGGCUUGGGAAAAUGAAACCUUGUGCGUGUUGUCCGUAGAUUUUGGCUUCUGGAUUUAGUCACACUCCCACCGCCAGGUCAUGUUUUCAGUUUCUUGCCCCUUUUUUUAUCAUUUUUUUUUUUUUUAAAGUUAGGAAAGUGUUUCUAGCCUGGUAGGAAAGUGUUUCUAGCCUGGUGCACACAUAUUUAGAGUAUGAUAUAAUAGGACUUCUAAGCAUCACUGACUUGUAUUGUUGGUCAAAUAUACAUGUGAUUAUUUGCCUGUAUCAUUACGUGUGAAGUUCUUCACGUGC